Molecule: long non-coding RNA, 1438 nt
Filed under: Gallus gallus (chicken)
Lineage: Eukaryota; Metazoa; Chordata; Aves; Galliformes; Phasianidae
Source: RNAcentral
CUAGAAGCGUCAUUUGUUUCAUUUUCAUCUUAGGGGUUUUCAAGCCUUUCCCAGGAGACUUUGAUUUCCCAGAUGUUUUCUGCCCAUUUAAAACUCUUUUGCCUCUCUGCUUUUUGUCCAAGGAUUUGUUGCUGCCCUUUCCCAGUCGGCUCCUCUUUGGAAUGUGAAAGUUAGAAUCAAGUUUACCAGGCGACAUGAUUUUCAUCAUCUCUUCCAACUCCUCUUUGGGACAUUUUGAGAUCUUAGAGUUUUUCAUCUUCAGUGGGGAGCCAAUAAUAGAUUUCUCCAAAUGUACAUGACACCACAGGGUAGGGCUCAGUGGCUGACUCAAAGAUGAUCCAUCAGUUUUGGAUUUCUUGGAAGGUUUUCUGUCAGGUGAUCCAGAGCUCUUCCUCUUGGUUGAGGGGUUGAGAGUCAUAUACUUAUGUGGGUCAAGCAAGAAGUCACUAAAUUUACUGGGGAGAGAAUAUUUCUUCACCAACUCAUCCUCCACUACCCACGGGGCAUUCUCACCGAUGCCAGCCCGCAGCGCGUUGUGCCGGAUGAAGUACCUCAGGAUCUCCUUGUUGGGAGGACGCUCCGUACGGACCAAGCUAUCUGCUGGCACAUUGCUGAUGAUCUUGUCUUCGUUUUUCAGCUUGACGUCAUACUUGUGGGGCAGGAAUUUCGGUGGGACCCACUUCCUUUCUUCCUUUUUCAAAGAAGUAGGAAGCUUCCGAGGAGACCUACGUGCUCGAUCAUUCAUACUUUCCCUCCUGCUGUCUUCCUCCUUCAGGACAGACUCCUUCUGAUUGUCCUGGGCUGCCUGGCUGGAAUUCUCUUUAUCACUGGAUGGGGAAUCACAGGCUCCUUCAGACUUCUUUUCAGAGGCCUCUUCAUCGACUUUCUCCAGGGGAUGUAUUUUCACAACUUUCACAGGCAGCAUUUUCUCCUUACCAACCUCAAAAUCACACUCCUCUCCCACUGCAAAUUUGGUCAUGAUCUCCACCCAAGCUGCAUCCACCAACUUUUCCAAAGAUACUGUGUUGUGGUGAACUAUUUCCAGCACUGGUUUCUCAUACCAGAUGGGGAACUCCUCCUUCAAGAGUUCAGCGACUUCCUGCUCCUCCUCCCAGGCCUCUUUAUGUGUCAGCUGGCUGCUUCCUGUGCUCUUGCACGUCCAUAUUCUCUCACUGUAUCGCUCCAACCGUGCUUCAUACUCUUCGCGGGUGCGGAAAGCCUCCUGCGUGUGCGGGAUGAUGAAGCGCUCCCCCGGUUCCCCCGGCGGCAGCGGCUUGGCCAGCGGGAAGGGCUUGCGGCCCAGCAACGGCGCCAUGGCGGCGGCGGCCGCCGGAUCCGCGCGGUGACGCCGGGCCCGGGCGGGAGGAUUGAAAAAUGGCGGGAGAUUCCCCUCCCCCUGCCGGGCGGGCGGCGGGCCCGGCCUGCCCGCGCGCACCCC